GAGGAAGGCUGCCUCCAGGCCUGCUGGCUCUCUGGGCCAUGCUUAGGCUGGCAGCUGGUUGACAGCUCCAGGAGCCAGUGAGCCAGUCCGGAGCCACGGCCACAGAGGCAGGCACAAAUUGCCUGGGGGCCCAAAGAGGAUGUUGGGCCCAAAUCUGAUCCAUGUGUGAGCCAGCUGAACUCAGGAGCGUUCCCAGGGAAGUGACGUUCCACAGCACCCCCGCAUCCCCCCAGCCUUGAGCCUCCCUGCUUGACACACUCAACUGGGGGCCACAGAGCAAAUUCCAAGACAGAGUUUCAAGAAUGAUGAUUCAGAGGCUCACAGAGGACAUUUAUGGUCCAAGGUCCAAACUGCCUGUGGACCUUCCCAGGGGCUCCUGUGUUUUCCCAGCUACUUCACGGGGCCAAACCCUCACAGACAACCUUGGCUCAGGGCUGACUGCUGCUCAACUUGACCCAUGGAAUCCAGCUGUGCUCUUUCUCGCUUCCUCAUUCCUUCUGCUCUGGGAGCUCCAGCCUCAGGUGUGAGGCCCAUUUGGGACCAGCUGACAUUUACCCUUCAAGGAGCCUAUGGAAACACACGUAUCCUAGCUCUCUAUGCCAGCACCCGUGGCAGACAUUACUAAUCUAUUCUGGAUUCUCUGAUCUAUGCUGGCACCCAUACAGAUAUUAUUGAUUAAUCCUGAGAUUCUCUGACUACCCAAUAUAUGUG
Molecule: long non-coding RNA, 711 nt
Organism: Mirounga angustirostris (Northern elephant seal)
Lineage: Eukaryota; Metazoa; Chordata; Mammalia; Carnivora; Phocidae
Exons: 3
Source: RefSeq, a predicted model, not a curated record